Gasterosteus aculeatus aculeatus (three-spined stickleback) is the source of this 813-nucleotide long non-coding RNA. Lineage: Eukaryota; Metazoa; Chordata; Actinopteri; Perciformes; Gasterosteidae. The record is from Ensembl.
GGGGGGGCGAGAGGGUGUUGGUGCCACUAAACACAGACACCGAGCUGAUCCGUUGUCAGCUUACAGCUGGAUCCCAAUCGGUCUCUGAGCAUGGAGAAGCAGGCAUGUAUGGAGGCACUCUUUUCCUUUAACAGCAGUCAACAAACUGCCUUUAGUCUGCUACUAGAAGCUAACACACACACACACACAAAGCAGAACCCGCACAAAUGCAUGUGUAUGUGCGCAUGUCUGCAUGUACACGCACACACACACACGCAGGCUAUUCCUCGUCCACCGACUGUGACGCAGCACUUAAUUCUCUGUGCUUUCGCACCACGGUUGUGGCUCUCACGACGACAACUUCUUCACCAAGAUGGAACACACAGGAGCUAGCUAGCCCGCACGCACGGCAAGUGAGCAUGAGCAGACUGCAGCACCUGAAACGUGUUAUGUUCUACUUCCCCACUGGAGCCCACGGCUUCAUUUCACAGGACUGAGGAGAAAGGAGAGCAUCGGCAAAAGAAUCAGCUUUCACCCUUGAGCUAUAUGGGAAAUUAAGCCCUCAGAAGACUGCGGAUGGGUCGGCACGUGUUCCAGCACUGCAUGACAAAAAAGAAGAGCUUCAUCCCCGUCAGGUCCUGAGGAUAUCACAGGCGUUAUUUCAUGACAAACAUAUUACAGUGAUUCAAAUGUUUCCUUUAGGCUUCAGAUUAGUAGUUUCUGGCAUCACAGUGCUGUAUGGAGUCAGAUAAAUUAAAUGUGUUCAGAUUUAAAUGUGACAUUUUCAUGUUCCCUCUGUCGGGUUGCAUUAAUAAAGACUUUCCAAUAACUUCA